GUAGCUCAGCUGGAUAGAGCACCAGACUACGAAUCUGGGGGCCGGAGGUUCGAAUCCUUCCGGGCGCGCCA
Molecule: transfer RNA, 71 nt
Filed under: Erythrobacter sp.
Lineage: Bacteria; Pseudomonadati; Pseudomonadota; Alphaproteobacteria; Sphingomonadales; Erythrobacteraceae
Description: tRNA-Arg
Rfam family: tRNA
About the family: Transfer RNA (tRNA) molecules are approximately 80 nucleotides in length. Their secondary structure includes four short double-helical elements and three loops (D, anti-codon, and T loops).
Source: RNAcentral